CCCUUAGAUGUCCUGGGCCGCACGCGCGUUACACUGAUGCAUUCAACGAGCUUAUAACCUUGGCCGAGAGGCCUGGGCAAUCUUGUUAACGUGCAUCGUGAUAGGGAUAGAUUAUUGAAAUUAUUAAUCUUGAACGAGGAGUUCCUAGUAAACGCAGAUCAUCAAUCUGCAUUGAUUACGUCCCUGCCCUUUGUACACACCGCCCGUCGCACCUACCGAUUGGAUGGUCCGGUGAAGCCUCGGGAUUGUGGUUCUUGCCGCUUUAUUGUAGCGUGACCGCGAGAACUUGUCUAAACCUUAUCAUCUAGAGGAAGGUGAAGUCGUAACA
Molecule: ribosomal RNA, 328 nt
Filed under: uncultured eukaryote
Lineage: Eukaryota
Description: partial 18S ribosomal RNA
Rfam family: Eukaryotic small subunit ribosomal RNA
Source: RNAcentral